GAGCAACCUGCCCCUGACUCUGGGAUAAGCGCUGGAAACGGCGUCUAAUACUGGAUACGAACCACGAAGGCAUCUUCAGUGGUUGGAAAGAUUUAUUGGUUGGGGAUGGGCUCGCGGCCUAUCAGCUUGUUGGUGAGGUAAUGGCUCACCAAGGCGUCGACGGGUAGCCGGCCUGAGAGGGUGACCGGCCACACUGGGACUGAGACACGGCCCAGACUCCUACGGGAGGCAGCAGUGGGGAAUAUUGCACAAUGGGCGCAAGCCUGAUGCAGCAACGCCGCGUGAGGGAUGACGGCCUUCGGGUUGUAAACCUCUUUUAGCAGGGAAGAAGCGAAAGUGACGGUACCUGCAGAAAAAGCGCCGGCUAACUACGUGCCAGCAGCCGCGGUAAUACGUAGGGCGCAAGCGUUAUCCGGAAUUAUUGGGCGUAAAGAGCUCGUAGGCGGUUUGUCGCGUCUGCUGUGAAAUCCGGAGGCUCAACCUCCGGCCUGCAGUGGGUACGGGCAGACUAGAGUGCGGUAGGGGAGAUUGGAAUUCCUGGUGUAGCGGCGGAAUGCGCAGAUAUCAGGAGGAACACCGAUGGCGAAGGCAGAUCUCUGGGCCGUAACUGACGCUGAGGAGCGAAAGGGUGGGGAGCAAACAGGCUUAGAUACCCUGGUAGUCCACCCCGUAAACGUUGGGAACUAAUUGUGGGGUCCAUUCCACGGAUUCCGUGACGCAGCUAACGCAUUAAGUUCCCCGCCUGGGAGAGUACGGCCGCAAGGCUAAAACUCAAAGGAAU
RNAcentral lists this ribosomal RNA (781 nucleotides) under Microbacterium hydrocarbonoxydans. Its description in RNAcentral is "bacterial SSU rRNA". It matches the Rfam family "Bacterial small subunit ribosomal RNA", at positions 119 to 910 of the family's 1533-position model. Lineage: Bacteria; Bacillati; Actinomycetota; Actinomycetes; Micrococcales; Microbacteriaceae. The record is from RNAcentral.